GAGCAGGAAGAAUUGGGAGCAGAUUUUAUAAAGAAUGGAGGACCAAAAGCAAAGCUGCCCUCCAUCCCGGAAGAGUCCGAAGGACCUUCUACAAAAUGAGGGACUCACGUGGCCUCAGACUCGCUCUCUAGCCAAGGGUAACCUCUAACUUGCUGAGCCUCUAGGAAGACCACAGCAGAUACCCAAGCUCUCUGCAAAAGCUCCUCAAAUUCCAAUCUCUUCUGGACCCUUCAAGUGCUGGGAUUGCAGGAUACUCCUGUGCAAAUCAAGUUGGCAUCAAGUUCUCAAGGCUCCUGCCACAGCCCUAGCAAGAAAAACAAAACCAGAGGAAGGGGUGAGAGAAAAAAAAGCAAAUGGGGAACUGAAAAAUUAUUGAAGGGCUGGUGAGGUGACUCAGUGGAAAAAGGAGCUUGCUGUCAAGUCUGAAGACCAGAGUUCAAUUCCCAGGACCCACCUGGUGGAAGUUGUCUUCAAACUGCCCCAUGAAUAUUCAAACACAAGCAUGUAUAUUCAUACAAAAUAAAUAAAUAUAAUUUAAAAAAAUAAACGGCUGAAAAG
This 558-nucleotide long non-coding RNA is filed under the name Mus musculus (house mouse). Its description in RNAcentral is "RIKEN cDNA 5033403H07 gene". The record is from RNAcentral. Lineage: Eukaryota; Metazoa; Chordata; Mammalia; Rodentia; Muridae.